RNAcentral lists this ribosomal RNA (493 nucleotides) under uncultured bacterium. Its description in RNAcentral is "bacterial SSU rRNA". It matches the Rfam family "Bacterial small subunit ribosomal RNA", at positions 8 to 507 of the family's 1533-position model. The record is from RNAcentral.
AGAGUUUGAUCCUGGCUCAGAAUGAACGUUGGCGGCGUGGAUUAGGCAUGCAAGUCGUACGCACAGCUUCGGCUGUGAGUGGCGCAAGGGUGAGUAAUGCGAAGGUAACCAACCCUGGAGUUGGGCAUAACCGCGGGAAACUGCGGGUAAUUCCCAGCGAUGUCGCGAGAUGGCAUCAUCUUGCGACCAAAGGUGUGAUUCCGCUCUAGGACGGGCCUUCGUGGUAUUAGGUAGUUGGUGAGGUAACGGCUCACCAAGCCGACGAUGCCUACCGGGUGUGAGAGCAUGACCCGGCACACUGGAACUGAGACACUGUCCAGACACCUACGGGUGGCUGCAGUCGAGAAUCUUCGGCAAUGGGCGAAAGCCUGACCGAGCGACGCCGCGUGAGGGAAGAAGGCCUUCGGGUUGUAAACCUCUUUCGUAGAGGAGGAAGGGGCCGUGCAGAGCGGUCUUUGACCUAUUCUAGGAAGAAGCUUGGGCUAAGUUCGUG